RNAcentral lists this ribosomal RNA (1305 nucleotides) under Araecerus sp. NLG-2014. RNAcentral's name for it is "partial 16S ribosomal RNA". The record is from RNAcentral. Lineage: Eukaryota; Metazoa; Arthropoda; Insecta; Coleoptera; Anthribidae.
UUGGCGGUAUUUUAGUCUUUUCAGAGGAACCUGUUCUGUAAUUGAUAUUCCACGAUGUAUUAUACUUUUAUUAUAAAUUUACAUAUCGUUGUUAAAAAAUAUUUUUUAAGAAAUUAAUAUUGGGGAUUUAAAUUAUAAAAUAAAUCAAAUCAAGAUGUAGUUGAUAUAAAGGUAGAAAUGGGUUACAUUAUUAAAAUUUAGUAUGAUGAUUAAUUGAAAAUUAGUUUGAUUUUGGAUUUGAAAGUAAUUUUGUAUAAGUUAUACAGGGUGAUUUUAGCUCUAGGAUAUGUACAUAUUGCCCGUCACUUUCACUUCAAGGUGAAAUAAGUCGUAACAAAGUAGAGGUACUGGAAAGUGCCUCUAGAAAGACAGGCUAAAGCUUAGAGAAGUAUUUUAUUUACAUUAAAAAGAAAGUUGUUAAAUCAAUUUAGCUUGAUUUAGAAGGGCUUAUUAUUAAUUUAUUUGUGCAGAUUUUAACAUAAGAAAAUUUUUGUUUGAUUAUUUAUUAAGAAAAAAUUUAAUUAAUUAUAGUUUAAUAGUAUUGUGAGAGAAAAAUAUUAAAUUGUAAAAGGAGAAUAAUUUUGUACCUUGUGUCUCAGGGUUUAUUAAUUAGUUUAGAAAAAUUUCGGAUUCUCGAAUUAAAAUGAGCGAAGUAUAUAUAUAUAUUAUUGUAGAAAAAAUAUAUAUAAUAUAAACUUAGAGAUGAAAUGUUAAUCGUAUUUUAUAUAUCUAGUUUCAAAAGAAAAAAAUUUAAUUUUUUUGGAUUUAAAGUUAUUUUAAAUAGUAAAUUUUAUUUUAGAUUUAGGUUAUAAAUUUAGGGAUGAGCUUAAAUUUAAAUUGUUAUAAUUUUUAAAUUUAUAUUUUUAUAUAGGAUUAGAAUUUUUCAUUAUUGGAAGUGAGUUAUAUUUUAAAAAUAUUAAUAUAUGAUUUAUAUUUAGGGAUUUAAUUAGUUUAUUUUGAUAAUUAAUUAAAUUAUUUAAUUUAGUCAAUAAUGAUAGGAUUAGUAUAAUAAAGGAAUAUAUUUCAGGUAAUUUAAAGGAACUCGGCAAAUAGAUUUUUCACCUGUUUAUUAAAAACAUGUCUUUUUGAGAAUAAUUUAAAGUCGUCCCUGCCCACUGAUAUUUUAAAUGGCCGCGGUAUUUUGACCGUGCAAAGGUAGCAUAAUCAUUAGUUUUUUAAUUGAAAGCUGGAAUGAAAGGGUUGAUGAAAAGAUUUCUGUCUCUAAGUUAAUUUAUUAGAAUUUUAUUUUUAAGUGAAAAAGCUUAAAUAUUUUUAAAAGACGAUAAGACCCUAUAGAGCUUUAUA